GCAAGUCGAGCGGAUGACGGGAGCUUGCUCCUUGAUUCAGCGGCGGACGGGUGAGUAAUGCCUAGGAAUCUGCCUGGUAGUGGGGGACAACGUUUCGAAAGGAACGCUAAUACCGCAUACGUCCUACGGGAGAAAGCAGGGGACCUUCGGGCCUUGCGCUAUCAGAUGAGCCUAGGUCGGAUUAGCUAGUUGGUGGGGUAAUGGCUCACCAAGGCGACGAUCCGUAACUGGUCUGAGAGGAUGAUCAGUCACACUGGAACUGAGACACGGUCCAGACUCCUACGGGAGGCAGCAGUGGGGAAUAUUGGACAAUGGGCGAAAGCCUGAUCCAGCCAUGCCGCGUGUGUGAAGAAGGUCUUCGGAUUGUAAAGCACUUUAAGUUGGGAGGAAGGGCAGUAAGUUAAUACCUUGCUGUUUUGACGUUACCGACAGAAUAAGCACCGGCUAACUCUGUGCCAGCAGCCGCGGUAAUACAGAGGGUGCAAGCGUUAAUCGGAAUUACUGGGCGUAAAGCGCGCGUAGGUGGUUUGUUAAGUUGGAUGUGAAAGCCCCGGGCUCAACCUGGGAACUGCAUCCAAAACUGGCAAGCUAGAGUACGGUAGAGGGUGGUGGAAUUUCCUGUGUAGCGGUGAAAUGC
This 637-nucleotide ribosomal RNA is filed under the name Pseudomonas putida. RNAcentral's name for it is "bacterial SSU rRNA". It matches the Rfam family "Bacterial small subunit ribosomal RNA", at positions 57 to 689 of the family's 1533-position model. The record is from RNAcentral. Lineage: Bacteria; Pseudomonadati; Pseudomonadota; Gammaproteobacteria; Pseudomonadales; Pseudomonadaceae.